GCCCUUGUAGCUCAGUCGUAGUAGCGCAUGACUUGUAAUUAAUGAGAUCAUGAGGUCCGCGGUUCAAUCCCGCGCGGGGGCA
The sequence is a transfer RNA, 82 nucleotides long. It matches the Rfam family "tRNA". Rfam says of the family: Transfer RNA (tRNA) molecules are approximately 80 nucleotides in length. Their secondary structure includes four short double-helical elements and three loops (D, anti-codon, and T loops). The record is from Rfam.